GAUGAACGCUGGCGGCGUGCCUAAUACAUGCAAGUCGAGCGCACAGACGAGGAGCUUGCUCCUCUGACGUUAGUGGCGGACGGGUGAGUAACACGUGGAUAACCUACCUAUAAGACUGGGAUAACUUUGGGAAACCGUAGCUAAUACCGCAUAAUAUAUUUAAUCGCAUGGUUAUAUAGUGAAAGAUGCUAUUGCUGUCCCUUAUAGUUGACUCCGCUCCGAUUUAGUUAGUUGGUAAGGUAACGGUCUACAAAGGCAACGAUCCUUAGCCGACCUGGGAGGGUGAUCGGCCACACUGGAACUGAGACACGGUCCAGACUCCAACGGGAGGCAGCAGAGGGGAAUCUUCCGCAAUGAGCGAAAUCCUGACGGGGCAAGGCCGCGUGAGUAAUGAGGGUCUUCGGUUCGUAAAACUCUGUUAUAGAGGAAGAAGAAAUGGGUAAGUAACAAUUCACAUCGUGACGGUACCUAAUCAGAAAGCCACGGCUAACUACGUG
This 497-nucleotide ribosomal RNA is filed under the name uncultured bacterium. RNAcentral's name for it is "partial 16S ribosomal RNA". It matches the Rfam family "Bacterial small subunit ribosomal RNA", at positions 28 to 507 of the family's 1533-position model. The record is from RNAcentral.